Molecule: long non-coding RNA, 414 nt
Organism: Callithrix jacchus (white-tufted-ear marmoset)
Lineage: Eukaryota; Metazoa; Chordata; Mammalia; Primates; Cebidae
Source: Ensembl
AUGAUCUCCAUUCUAGCUGGCCUACUCAACGUGAAGACAGUAAGGAUGAAGAUCUUCAUGAUGAUCCACUUCCACUUAAUGAACAAGUUUCUGAAGGAGAGGAGAAAGAGAAUAGGUUUAAAAAGCACUCGGGGGGAGGACUCAAGAUGGCACUGUGAGAACAACCCAGGAUUGGAGCUUGCGUUGUGUCCGCGGAAAGGUUUUUUUUUUUUUUUUUAUUCUACAGUCAAGAACACUCAUUAUUUUGGACAUUUCACAGAGGUGAAGAAGGUGCUGUUCUGGCUUAUGAGAAACACUAGGCCAGCGCGGUGGCUCACGCCUAUAAUCCCAGCACUUUGGGAGGCCGAGACCUGUACGACUAUGAAAGUUCUGAUCAGCUUCUCAGUCUCAUGCCUGCUACAUGUGAACUGGUAA